RNAcentral lists this ribosomal RNA (387 nucleotides) under uncultured bacterium. Its description in RNAcentral is "bacterial SSU rRNA". It matches the Rfam family "Bacterial small subunit ribosomal RNA", at positions 28 to 414 of the family's 1533-position model. The record is from RNAcentral.
GACGAACGCUGGCGGCGUGCUUAACACAUGCAAGUCGAGCGGUAAGGCCCUUUCGGGGGUACGACGAGCGGCGAACGGGUGAGUAACACGUGGGUGACCUGCCCUCAGCUCUGGGAUAAGCCUGGGAAACCGGGUCUAAUACUGGAUAUGACUCCAUGACGCAUGUUGUGGGGUGGAAAGCCUUGUGCGGCUGAGGAUGGGCCCGCGGCCUAUCAGCUUGUUGGUGGGGUGGAUGGCCUACCAAGGCGACGACGGGUAGCCGGCCUGAGAGGGCGACCGGCCACACUGGGACUGAGACACGGCCCAGACUCCUACGGGAGGCAGCAGUGGGGAAUCUUGCGCAAUGGGCGAAAGCCUGACGCAGCGACGCCGCGUGAGGGAUGACGG